GUCCCUACUGUAAACGGUGUACACUUGCCGUGACCGGAUUUCACCCCGGUCGUGGCGGAGCAAACGCGUUAAGUGUACCGCCUGGGGAGUACGGCCGCAAGGUUAAAACUCAAAGAAAUUGACGGGGCCCGCACAAGCGGAGGAGCAUGUGGCUUAAUUCGAUGCAACGCGAAGAACCUUACCCAGGUUUGACAUAUACCUGCAAGACCCAUGAAAGUGGGUUUCCUUCGAGGGUGGUAUACAGGUGCUGCAUGGCUGUCGU
RNAcentral lists this ribosomal RNA (262 nucleotides) under uncultured bacterium. RNAcentral describes it as "partial 16S ribosomal RNA". It matches the Rfam family "Bacterial small subunit ribosomal RNA", at positions 793 to 1055 of the family's 1533-position model. The record is from RNAcentral.